This 200-nucleotide ribosomal RNA is filed under the name uncultured bacterium. RNAcentral describes it as "partial 16S ribosomal RNA". It matches the Rfam family "Bacterial small subunit ribosomal RNA", at positions 28 to 241 of the family's 1533-position model. The record is from RNAcentral.
GAUGAACGCUAGCGGCAGGCUUAAUACAUGCAAGUCGAGGGGGCAGCAAUGUCACCGGCGGACGGGUGCGUAACGCGUACGAAACCUCCUUUAUCAGGGGGAUAGCCCGGGGAAACCCGGAUUAAUACCGCAUAAUAUAUUGAAUGGCAUCAUUUGUAUAUUGUAAGAAUUAAUUGUAUAGAGAUGGUGAUGCGUGGAGU